This 1518-nucleotide unclassified non-coding RNA is filed under the name Hevea brasiliensis (rubber tree). The record is from RNAcentral. Lineage: Eukaryota; Viridiplantae; Streptophyta; Magnoliopsida; Malpighiales; Euphorbiaceae.
AAGUAAAAGCCUCAAAGUUUUCCUUACUUGGCAAACGACCGCUGGCGCUGUGUUAGAAACUCAUUUUUGAAGCAAUCGAUCUCUCUCAUUCCAAAUUUGAUCUCUUGUCCAGUUAGGGAAGACAUGGAGGGCAUUUUGCCGACGACGGCGUUCUCUGUUUCUUCCUCUUCGUCAAAAUCAGAUAGGCGAUCAAAAUCAAAAUCUACUCAAACGUCAUCUAAACCUUCACUAGUACUGGCGUUAAUUUCCUGCUUCGCUUGGUUAUAUGUUGCCGGAAGGUUAUGGCAAGAUGCAGAGAACAGAGUGUUAUUAGUUGCUCUUUUCAAGAAGAAUUCACAGCAGAGACCAAAGAUGCUGACAGUGGAAGACAAGCUAAUGGUUUUAGGAUGCAAGGAUCUUGAGAGGAGAAUAGUUGAAGUUGAAAUGGAAUUAACAGUGGCUAAGAGUCAAGGGUACCUCCAGAAUCAGUUGAAACAGAGUAGUUCUUCUUCAGGCAAACAAUUUCUGGCUGUUAUAGGAAUUUAUACGGGAUUUGGAGGUCGAUUGAGGAGAAAUGUGAUCAGAGGGUCUUGGUUUCCAAAUGUUGAUGCUUUGUCAAAACUUGAAGCAAGAGGAGUGCUCGUGCGAUUUGUAGUUGGUCGGAGUCCCAACCGAGGUGAUAGCUUGGACCGCAAUAUUAAUGAGGAAAAUCGAGCAACAAAAGAUUUCUUGAUUCUAGGAAGUCAUGAGGAAGCUCAUGAGGAAUUGCCCAAGAAGGCUAAAUAUUUCUUUAGCUCAGCAAUACAAACUUGGGAUGCAGAGUUUUAUGUGAAAGUUGAUGACAACAUUGAUGUUGACCUUGAUGGGUUGAUUGAGCUCCUCCAAAAGCGUCGUGGUCAAAAUAGUUCUUACAUUGGAUGCAUGAAAUCUGGAGAAGUAGUUUCGGAAGAGGGAAAGUCAUGGUACGAGCCAGAAUGGUGGAAAUUCGGAGAUGAGAAGUCGUACUUCCGACAUGCUGCUGGUUCAGUUGUGGUGCUUUCUAAAAAUUUGGCUCAGUAUAUUAACAUAAACAGUGCUUCAUUGAAGAGCUAUGCACAUGAGGAUAUAUCUAUUGGAUCAUGGAUGAUGGGUCUUCAGACAACUUACAUAGAUGACAGCCGCCUAUGCUGUAGCACCACAACCAGCCAAGACAAGGUGUGCUCAUUGGCUUGAUCUUAUUCCAUUCCAUUCGUUUCUAUUGGAGCAUCCCAUGAUUCAAAAUGGACACAUGCUGUUUCUGUGUCAGGUAGUAGUAUUGCUGAUCUAAUUCAGCUAUUAUAUAAAUAUGGAGUGGGCAAAAUCCUUUAUAGGAUGUGUACACUACUAUUGGAGUAGAGAGUGUAAAUUUUGGGAGGACUUGAGUUUUUUAAAGAUGGAAAUAGUUGUUGAUGAAGUGAUUAAAUUAGUGGAACAUGAUUUUGUCCUUGCCGUGAUUAUAUACAAUUUGAAGAUCUACCUGUUAAGCAGGAGGAUCGAAAGUGCCAUUAUCUGAAGUUGAAU